Molecule: ribosomal RNA, 325 nt
Filed under: uncultured Nitrospirota bacterium
Lineage: Bacteria; Pseudomonadati; Nitrospirota
Description: bacterial SSU rRNA
Rfam family: Bacterial small subunit ribosomal RNA
Source: RNAcentral
AGCGAACGCUGGCGGCGUGCUUAACACAUGCAAGUCAAACGGUUCCGGGGUAGCAAUACUUCGGGAUAGUGGCGAACGGGUGAGUAACACGUGGGUAAUCUUCCCCCGAGUGAGGAAUAAGCUUGCGAAAGCGGGUCUAAUACCGCAUGACGCUUCGGGACUCAAGUCUUCGAAGCCAAAGCCGUAAGGCGCUUGGGGAUGAGCCUGCGUCCUAUUAGCUAGUUGGUAGGGUAAUGGCCUACCAAGGCGAUGAUGGGUAGCCGGCCUGAGAGGGUGAUCGGCCACACUGGAACUGAGACACGGUCCAGACUCCUACGGGAGGCAG